UCUUUUCUUUUGAUAGGAGAGUUUUUAAAACCAGUGUUAUUUUUGUAAGUUUAAGAGAAGUUUGUGUAUUGAAUUUUUAAUAUUAAAGAGCUUUGUUAAACUUAGACUUAAGUUUAGGUCAUUUUGGGGGUUUAGCUCAGUUGGCUAGAGCAUCGGCUUUGCAAGCCGAGGGUCAAGGGUUCGAGUCCCUUAACCUCCAUUGGGCUUAUGUCCUAAAUUGUAAUUAAGUAUGUUUUUAAGCAACUUUAUUAAAGUAAUUGUUGGAAUGUGAAACAGAGGAAGUUAAAAUUUCUGGGUUAAGUUGAGAUCUGUUGAUAUUAAGAAGAAUCUCUAGAAGCGAAAGCAAGCUUUCGAUAAAACCCGAAGUUGUUUCGCUAAAGUGCAAGGAUUAAACAGGAUUGUAUUUUCCAGUAGCCUAUUUUAUAAACGAUCUGCAUUUAGUAAAUAGUUUUUAGUUAGGAAAUAAUGUAUAUUGCUAAGUGUGAUGUC
RNAcentral lists this unclassified non-coding RNA (489 nucleotides) under Borreliella burgdorferi (Lyme disease spirochete). RNAcentral's name for it is "partial 16S-23S ribosomal RNA intergenic spacer". The stretch from base 126 to 199 matches the Rfam family "tRNA". The record is from RNAcentral. Lineage: Bacteria; Pseudomonadati; Spirochaetota; Spirochaetia; Spirochaetales; Borreliaceae.